GAUGUUAAUAACUUGUUUAAAAUGAGAAACUAAGUAGAAGUAAGAAAAAUAAUUUUUGUUUACAAAUAAUUAGUAGUUUUUAAUGAAAAAGGAAUAAAAACUAAAGAGAAAAGUACUGUGAAGGAAAGUUUAUUAAAAUUUAAGAUAGUAGAAGUAUAAUUUUGUGUCUUGUGUAUCAGAAAAGAUUUAAAUGAUUUAUGUAAAUAAAUAUCUCGAAAUAAAAUAUAGUGAUUUUUAUAAAAUUUUCUUUUUAGAAAAAAAGAAUUUAAUGUAAAAUUAAAAGUGAAAUGCUAGUUGAGUUUUAUGAUAUCUAGUUUUUUUAGAAAAAAAUUUAAUUUGAUUUUUAUAAAAAAGUUUUGUAAAAUUAAAUGGUAGGAGGGAAUAGCUUCUUAUGGAAAAAAGUAUAAAAUAGUUGGGUAAAAUUUAAAUUAUAAAUUAGGCUUAGAAGUAGCCAUAUUAAAAAAGUGUUUUAAUUAAAUUAUAAUUGUUUAGAAUAUUUAUAGCAGCUUUUAAAAAUAUAAAAAGAUUGGUUUAAAUAAAUAAAAAUAAGAUAUAAUGAUUUUAUUAGUAAAAUUUAUUGAGAAAUAAGAAUAUUAAAAUAAUUAGGAGAGUUUAGGAAAUUAAAUAUUAAUAUAAAGGAAUUCGGCAAAAAUUUUCUUUGCCUGUUUAUCAAAAACAUGUCUUUUUGAAAGUAAAAAAAGUCAAGCCUGCCCACUGAGUUGUUUAAGGGCCGCGGUAUUUUGACCGUGCGAAGGUAGCGUAAUCAUUAGGUUUUUAAUUGAAAUCUUGUAUGAAUGGUUAGACAAGAGAAAAUCUGUCUCUUUAUUAAAAAUUGAAUUUAACUUUUAAGUGAAAAGGCUUAAAUAAAUUAAAGGGACGAUAAGACCCUAUAAAGCUUAAUAUAAAAUAUUAUUUAGUCGAACUUUGAGUAAAGAUUUUAGAGUAUGUUUUAUUUUAUUGGGGUGAUAAAAGUAAAAUGUUUAUUAACUGCUUUCGUGAGAAAACAAUUAUAAUUGGAAUAAAUUUAUAAAAGAUCCUGAGUAGAGAUUAAAAGUUUAAGUUACUUUAGGGAUAACAGCGUUAUUUUUUUUGAGAGUACAUAUCGAAAAAAGAGUUUGCGACCUCGAUGUUGAAUUAAAAUUUCUU
RNAcentral lists this ribosomal RNA (1146 nucleotides) under Venitus latreillei. Its description in RNAcentral is "Macrophthalmus latreillei 16S ribosomal RNA". The record is from RNAcentral. Lineage: Eukaryota; Metazoa; Arthropoda; Malacostraca; Decapoda; Macrophthalmidae.